Platichthys flesus (European flounder) is the source of this 242-nucleotide long non-coding RNA. RefSeq lists it as uncharacterized. NCBI's taxonomy places the organism in Eukaryota, Metazoa, Chordata, Actinopteri, Pleuronectiformes, Pleuronectidae. The record is from RefSeq and is a predicted model, not a curated record. The transcript has 4 exons.
GAGAGGUAAAAAUAAAGGACUGAGGAAGAUAGAUCCCCUGGAUUAUGAUGUCCUGAUUGGAGCUGUCUGCGAGCACCAUCACUGGACACUAACUGUGAUGUAUCCUAAAAAGAGGCAGUCCCUUUAUGUUGAUCCAUUUGGGGCUAGCGAGGAAGCAUUAAAAAAAUGCACUGCAGUAACCAGGGCUUUCAUGAGGCAGCGGGGCCACAACUGCUCACGCUGGUCCAGUCAAACAGUACCAC